GGGCCCGCACAAGCGGUGGAGCAUGUGGUUUAAUUCGAUGCAACGCGAAGAACCUUACCAAGCCUUGACAUCCUCGGAACUUUCCAGAAAUGGAUUGGUGCCUUCGGGAACCGAGUGACAGGUGCUGCAUGGCUGUCGUCAGCUCGUGUCGUGAGAUGUUGGGUUAAGUCCCGUAACGAGCGCAACCCUUGUCCUUAGUUGCCAGCACUUCGGGUGGGAACUCUAAGGAGACUGCCGGUGACAAACCGGAGGAAGGUGGGGACGACGUCAAGUCCUCAUGGCCCUUAUGGGCUGGGCUACACACGUGCUACAAUGGCAGUGACAGAGGGACGCUACCAGGUGACUGGAUGCAAAUCUCAAAAAGCUGUCUCAGUUCGGAUUGUUGUCUGCAACUCGACAACAUG
This 404-nucleotide ribosomal RNA is filed under the name uncultured bacterium. Its description in RNAcentral is "bacterial SSU rRNA". It matches the Rfam family "Bacterial small subunit ribosomal RNA", at positions 917 to 1322 of the family's 1533-position model. The record is from RNAcentral.